Molecule: ribosomal RNA, 353 nt
Filed under: Palola environmental sample
Lineage: Eukaryota; Metazoa; Annelida; Polychaeta; Eunicida; Eunicidae
Description: partial 16S ribosomal RNA
Rfam family: Bacterial large subunit ribosomal RNA
Source: RNAcentral
GCAUAAUCAUUUGCCCCCUAAUUAGGGGCUAGCAUGAACGGAUAAACGAGAUUAUAGCUGUCUCCUUUACACUCAUAAAAAUUAAUCCACAGGUGAAGAAGCCUGUUUUUAUAUAAAAGACAAAAAGACCCUGUCGAGCUUUAAUUAUUUAUAAAACACAUUAAAUAUAUAUAAAUAAAAAAUAAUCCCCCUUAUAAAUAAUUUUUGUUGGGGCGACAAUGGAGCACACAAACCCUCCACUAUACUCAAAACCCCAAGUUUCCCAAAAGAUCCUUUACAGAUACCAGGCACUAGCUACCGCAGGGAUAACAGACUAAUCUUCCUUAAGAGCCCAAAUCUACAGGAAGGCUUGG